Molecule: transfer RNA, 80 nt
Filed under: Aspergillus ibericus CBS 121593
Lineage: Eukaryota; Fungi; Ascomycota; Eurotiomycetes; Eurotiales; Aspergillaceae
Rfam family: tRNA
About the family: Transfer RNA (tRNA) molecules are approximately 80 nucleotides in length. Their secondary structure includes four short double-helical elements and three loops (D, anti-codon, and T loops). Further hydrogen bonds mediate the characteristic L-shaped molecular structure. tRNAs have two regions of fundamental functional importance: the anti-codon, which is responsible for specific mRNA codon recognition, and the 3' end, to which the tRNAs corresponding amino acid is attached (by aminoacyl-tRNA synthetases). tRNAs cope with the degeneracy of the genetic code in two manners: having more than one tRNA (with a specific anti-codon) for a particular amino acid; and 'wobble' base-pairing, i.e. permitting non-standard base-pairing at the 3rd anti-codon position.
Source: Rfam by way of RNAcentral
GCCCCUGUAGCUCAGUGGUAGAGCACUCCACUUAUUCUUAUUCUUAGGAGAAGGCUGCGGUUCGGGUCCGCGCAGGGGCG